CCGCAGCCCGGAUUGAGCCGGUAUCCUUUGCGAAGUAUGAGCAAAGAUAAAGGCGAAAGCCGGAAAUGUC
RNAcentral lists this small RNA (70 nucleotides) under Flavobacterium noncentrifugens. RNAcentral describes it as "Flavo-1 RNA". It matches the Rfam family "Flavo-1 RNA". The record is from Rfam by way of RNAcentral. Lineage: Bacteria; Pseudomonadati; Bacteroidota; Flavobacteriia; Flavobacteriales; Flavobacteriaceae.